UUCUUCUUUCUCAAUAGGAAAAGCGGGUCGUUAUAGAUAGCCUAUAAGAAACUCUCCCAAGUAGGUGGAUUAGGGAGAGAACCUGAUGCAGAACCUGAGCUCAACAAUAGAAUCCAAAAUCCCGCAUAUACAUUAGAAAUCAGAAACUCAAAACCCUCCUUACUUGACUCGCACUCAACAAGGGAGUGAAAACCAAGAUAACUGGAAAAGAAAUUAAGAACUAGAAUUGAAAAGGCACCAUGAUACUUACCUCGAUAAAUGAGCCAAAUUCCUAGCACAACAAAUCUGUCAAAAACUUACCCUUGCAAGCUAGGAAGCUUAAAACAAGAAUACCCGAAUUUUAUUAAUAAACUAAAAUUUCUUAAUCGAAUAACAACUUUCAAUUGAAAGCCUAUUUAUAGUGU
RNAcentral lists this long non-coding RNA (404 nucleotides) under Carica papaya (papaya). RNAcentral describes it as "long non-coding RNA (CPAP_LNC010149)". Lineage: Eukaryota; Viridiplantae; Streptophyta; Magnoliopsida; Brassicales; Caricaceae. The record is from RNAcentral.